UCCGGAGCUAACGCGUUAAGUCGACCGCCUGGGGAGUACGGCCGCAAGGUUAAAACUCAAAUGAAUUGACGGGGGCCCGCACAAGCGGUGGAGCAUGUGGUUUAAUUCGAUGCAACGCGAAGAACCUUACCUGGUCUUGACAUCCACAGAACUUUCCAGAGAUGGAUUGGUGCCUUCGGGAACUGUGAGACAGGUGCUGCAUGGCUGUCGUCAGCUCGUGUUGUGAAAUGUUGGGUUAAGUCCCGCAACGAGCGCAACCCUUAUCCUUUGUUGCCAGCGGUCCGGCCGGGAACUCAAAGGAGACUGCCAGUGAUAAACUGGAGGAAGGUGGGGAUGACGUCAAGUCAUCAUGGCCCUUACGACCAGGGCUACACACGUGCUACAAUGGCGCAUACAAAGAGAAGCAAUCUCGCGAGAGCUAGCGGACCUCAUAAAGUGCGUCGUAGUCCGGAUUGGAGUCUGCAACUCGACUCCAUGAAGUCGGAAUCGCUAGUAAUCGUGAAUCAGAAUGUCACGGUGAAUACGUUCCCGGGCCUUGUACACACCGCCCGUCACACCAUGGGAGUGGGU
RNAcentral lists this ribosomal RNA (570 nucleotides) under Enterobacter sp. YL36(2011). Its description in RNAcentral is "bacterial SSU rRNA". It matches the Rfam family "Bacterial small subunit ribosomal RNA", at positions 845 to 1415 of the family's 1533-position model. Lineage: Bacteria; Pseudomonadati; Pseudomonadota; Gammaproteobacteria; Enterobacterales; Enterobacteriaceae. The record is from RNAcentral.